GAAAAAAAUGAUAUUACCUUACUAUAAGUGUAGUCUAAAUAACUGGUGCCAGAAGACUCGGUAACACCAGAAACGCGAACGUUAGUCGUCUUAAUACAGGCGUAAAGGGUAAGUAGGCUGCUUUAAAUUCUAAAUUUUAAUAAGCUAAUUAAUAAUAUUCCUUACCACCCUUAGCUUUUAUACUAUAUUUAUAUUAAUUNCAUAAUCCGCAGAAUAAAUAUUAAUAAAUACUAUGGAGUAAGGUCCAAGACUANAAGUCUAUAAAUUUUCAGACCUUAUCUAAUCAAAAUAAGGCCUAACUAUAAAUGAAAACAGGGAGAAAAAUUUANCUCUUGCUUUUGAGUAAGGCUUAAAUUAAUAGGAUGAAUUNANCUAUANUUAAGUCUCUAUCCCAUAAAAAGGAGCAAAAACUAAUAUUAUUAAUAUCACAAAAAUAGAUAUACUAAAAGCUAGAAUCAUAAUNGAGAUAAACCAAAUAAUGCUUAUGUGUAAGGGCGAUAUCUGACAAUACUAAGUAGAAUAACUAACAGCGAAAACNUUUUUUAUCUGGUAAUGAAUUGGACGCCUGAGGUACAAUAGUGAAGUAACCAUUGGNAAAUAGGAUGUGCGAACUUGCACAGCUUUAAAUUAUGUAUACCUCCUAGGAGGAUGCUCAAUCCUCUGANAUAUCC
RNAcentral lists this ribosomal RNA (671 nucleotides) under Inocybe squarrosa. RNAcentral's name for it is "16S ribosomal RNA". Lineage: Eukaryota; Fungi; Basidiomycota; Agaricomycetes; Agaricales; Inocybaceae. The record is from RNAcentral.